Molecule: ribosomal RNA, 231 nt
Filed under: uncultured bacterium
Lineage: Bacteria
Description: partial 16S ribosomal RNA
Rfam family: Bacterial small subunit ribosomal RNA
Source: RNAcentral
CCGGGGUGGAGGUAAUGUCUGGGAAACUGCCUGAUGAGGGGGAGUAACUACUGGAAACGGUAGCUAAUACCGCAUAACGUCGCAAGACCAAAUGGGGGACCUUCGGGCCUCAUGCCAUCAGACGUGCCCAGAUGGGAUUAGCUAGUAGGUGGGGUAACGGCUCACCUAGGCGACGAUCCCUAGCUGGUCUGAGAGGAUGACCAGCCACACUGGAACUGAGACACGGUCCAG